This 22-nucleotide non-coding RNA is filed under the name Arabidopsis thaliana (thale cress). The record is from RNAcentral. Lineage: Eukaryota; Viridiplantae; Streptophyta; Magnoliopsida; Brassicales; Brassicaceae.
UCAAGGUUUUGUUCCAAGCAGC